RNAcentral lists this ribosomal RNA (464 nucleotides) under uncultured Pelotomaculum sp. Its description in RNAcentral is "bacterial SSU rRNA". It matches the Rfam family "Bacterial small subunit ribosomal RNA", at positions 920 to 1382 of the family's 1533-position model. The record is from RNAcentral. Lineage: Bacteria; Bacillati; Bacillota; Clostridia; Eubacteriales; Desulfotomaculaceae.
CCCGCACAAGCGGUGGAGCAUGUGGUUUAAUUCGACGCAACGCGAAGAACCUUACCAGGGCUUGACAUCCCCUGACCGCGUAUGAAAGUACGUUUUCACCCUCGGGUGACAGGGAGACAGGUGGUGCAUGGUUGUCGUCAGCUCGUGUCGUGAGAUGUUGGGUUAAGUCCCGCAACGAGCGCAACCCCUACGUUUAGUUGCUAACGCGUGAAGGCGAGCACUCUAGACGAACUGCCGUUGACAAAACGGAGGAAGGUGGGAUGACGUCAAAUCAUCAUGCCCCUUAUGUUCUGGGCUACACACGUGCUACAAUGGCCGGUACAGACGGACGCAAAGCCGCGAGGUGGAGCAAAUCCUAAAAAGCCGGUCUCAGUUCGGAUUGCAGGCUGCAAUUCGCCUGCAUGAAGUCGGAAUCGCUAGUAAUCGCAGGUCAGCAUACUGCGGUGAAUACGUUCCCGGGCCUU